RNAcentral lists this ribosomal RNA (1488 nucleotides) under metagenome. Its description in RNAcentral is "bacterial SSU rRNA". It matches the Rfam family "Bacterial small subunit ribosomal RNA". The record is from RNAcentral.
UCAGAACGAACGCUGGCGGCGUGCUUAAUACAUGCAAGUCGAACGAGAAAGCCCGGCUUCGGUUGGGCGAGUAAAGUGGCGAACGGGUGAGUAACACGUGGAUAAUCUGCCCUUAAAUCUGGGAUAAUCCUCCGAAAGGAGGUCUAAUACCGGAUAAUACCCCUUGAUGGCAUCUUCUUGGGGUCAAAGGCGGGGUAACCUGCCGUUUAAGGAUGAGUCCGCGUCCCAUUAGCUUGUUGGUGAGGUAACGGCCCACCAAGGCUGCGAUGGGUAGCCGGCCUGAGAGGGCGAUCGGCCACACUGGGACUGAGAUACGGCCCAGACUCCUACGGGAGGCAGCAGUAGGGAAUAUUGUGCAAUGGACGAAAGUCUGACACAGCAACGCCGCGUGGGUGAUGACGCUUCUUGGAGUGUAAAACCCUGUCAGUGGGGAAGAACCGUAUAGGGAGUAACUGCCCUAUGCCUGACGGUACCCACAGAGGAAGUCCCGGCUAACUCCGUGCCAGCAGCCGCGGUAAUACGGGGGGGACAAGCGUUGUUCGGAUUUACUGGGCGUAAAGGGCGCGUAGGCGGACCUUCAAGUCGGAUGUGAAACCCGGCGGCUUAACUGCCGGCCUGCAUACGGUACUGUUGGUCUUGAGUACAUGAGAGGAAAGCGGAAUUCCAGGUGUAGCGGUGAAAUGCGUAGAUAUCUGGAAGAACACCAGUAGCGAAGGCGGCUUUCUGGCGUGAUACUGACGCUCAAGCGCGAAGGCUAGGGGAGCAAACAGGAUUAGAUACCCUGGUAGUCCUAGCGGUAAACGAUGGGUACUAGGUGUCGGAGGUAUUGACCCCUUCGGUGCCGCAGCUAACGCAUUAAGUACCCCGCCUGGGGAGUACGGUCGCAAGAUUGAAACUUAAAGGAAUUGGCGGGGGAGCACAGCAACGGGUGGAGCGUGCGGUUUAAUUGGAUUCAACGCCGGAAAACUCACCGGAGGCGACGGUUACAUGAAGGCCAGGCUGAUGACCUUGCUUGAAUUUCCGAGAGGUGGUGCAUGGCCGCCGUCAGUUCGUACCGUAAGGCGUUCUGUUAAGUCAGAUAACGAACGAGACCCUCAUCUUUAAUUGCAACUGUUAAGUCCGCUUAAUAGGCACAUUAAAGAAACCGCUGGCGAUAAGUCAGAGGAAGGCGAGGGCAACGGUAGGUCAGUAUGCCCUGAAUCCUCCGGGCUACACGCGCGCUACAAAGGCUAGAAAAAUGAGCUUCGACACCGAGAGGUGAAGGUAAUCUCGAAACCUAGUCAUAGUUCGGAUUGAGGGUUGAAACUCACCCUCAUGAAGCUGGAAUCCGUAGUAAUCGCAGAUCAACAUCCUGCGGUGAAUAUGCCCCUGCUCCUUGCACACACCGCCCGUCAAACCAUGCGAGUUGGGCCUGAGUGAGGAUGUAGUUUUUGCUGCGUUCAAACUUAGACUUAGUAAGCGGGGUUAAGUCGUAACAAGGUAUCCGUA